GAUGAGUGACUCAAACUCACAACCUCUUAGUUGGAAGCGGAGGAUGCUCACCGUGUUAAUUAUAAUAACGUCCUACUGUUUACUUUUUUUCCUUUUUGGUUACAAAAAAUUAGUAUAUAUUUGUUCUUUGCUUUGCUGAACAAAAGUGGCUAGCAUGUUUUGGCUCACUUUUUUUACCACCAAAAACCUCUGUUUUUUGUUAUUUGAAAGACUCUGACAUAAAGCUGUUUUGAGUGAGUGAGUGAAGUAUAGUUUCUGUAAAAUAAAACAGCAAAGCAUGAGGAGAUGUACCACUUUCCAAUAAUACAAAUGUAUUGAACAAAUUUGUUGUUUUUGGGUUGGUUUGAAAUCUUUACCAAAAACCAAGACAAAAAAAAAACCAAGUUCCAAACAACUUCUUGAAAAGCUCUCUUCUUCAUCUAAAAAAAGGAAUUGAUUUUUCUCUGUUUUUAGCUGUUUCUUGAACUUCCAAAACCAAUGGAAACAAGAAGUAUAAAUGGUGUUUUUGGUUUUUUGGUCUUAUUGAGUUUCUUAGUUUAUUCCAAUGCUGUGCUUACUCCAGCUGGUGUUAAUUAUGAAGGUUAGUUCUAGUAAUUUCUCAUAAAGUUAGAAACUUUGAGACCUUUUUUAUUGAUCAAAUUUAGAAAAAUACCAAGAAUUUCAUUUUUUUAUCUUUUUUUUUUAAAUGUUGAUUUUGGGCAGUGCAAGCGUUAAUGGAGAUCAAGAAUUC
Molecule: long non-coding RNA, 730 nt
Filed under: Nicotiana tabacum (common tobacco)
Lineage: Eukaryota; Viridiplantae; Streptophyta; Magnoliopsida; Solanales; Solanaceae
Description: long non-coding RNA (NTAB_LNC018336)
Source: RNAcentral